GUAGCUCAGUCGGUAGAGCAGCUCAUUCGUAAUGAGAAGGUCGGGGGUUCGAUUCCUCUC
This 60-nucleotide transfer RNA is filed under the name Candidatus Allofontibacter lacus. RNAcentral describes it as "tRNA-Thr". It matches the Rfam family "tRNA", at positions 7 to 64 of the family's 71-position model. Rfam says of the family: Transfer RNA (tRNA) molecules are approximately 80 nucleotides in length. Their secondary structure includes four short double-helical elements and three loops (D, anti-codon, and T loops). Further hydrogen bonds mediate the characteristic L-shaped molecular structure. tRNAs have two regions of fundamental functional importance: the anti-codon, which is responsible for specific mRNA codon recognition, and the 3' end, to which the tRNAs corresponding amino acid is attached (by aminoacyl-tRNA synthetases). tRNAs cope with the degeneracy of the genetic code in two manners: having more than one tRNA (with a specific anti-codon) for a particular amino acid; and 'wobble' base-pairing, i.e. permitting non-standard base-pairing at the 3rd anti-codon position. The record is from RNAcentral. Lineage: Bacteria; Pseudomonadati; Pseudomonadota; Alphaproteobacteria; Candidatus Pelagibacterales; Candidatus Pelagibacteraceae.